Long non-coding RNA from Lathyrus oleraceus (garden pea), 280 nucleotides. RefSeq lists it as uncharacterized. NCBI's taxonomy places the organism in Eukaryota, Viridiplantae, Streptophyta, Magnoliopsida, Fabales, Fabaceae. The transcript is spliced from 3 exons. The record is from RefSeq and is a predicted model, not a curated record.
CAUUUUUCUAUUUAUUUUAUAAAAAAAGGUAAAAGUAUGAAGAAACUUAUAUGUUGUGCUUAUGCCAUAAUCCUCUUGCUUUCCUUAAUACUUGUUGUCGGUGCUAAUUUUUGUGAGGAACACCAUGAUUGCAUUUACAAGGAGUGUUCACAUCGUUUUGCCGAGUGCGUUUAUAAGAAGUGCCAAUGCAUGUAACCUAUAUCAGCCUGGAAGCAGAUAUCAUGCUAAAAUUGACACCUUUGUUAUCUUUUAUAAGAUACCGACACAACAAUGUUACUGC